This is a long non-coding RNA of Lampris incognitus (smalleye Pacific opah), 345 nucleotides long. RefSeq lists it as uncharacterized. The record is from RefSeq and is a predicted model, not a curated record. NCBI's taxonomy places the organism in Eukaryota, Metazoa, Chordata, Actinopteri, Lampriformes, Lampridae. The transcript has 2 exons.
UGAAGACAAGACCUGAUCUCUUCAUUUCCAGUUCAAGAUCAAACUUUAUUAACUAUUCAACAAUGUGGUGUCAAUGGACAGGAUGUUGCACGUCAAGUAUUCCGGAGACGAUGGAUGGGCACAGAGACGGCAAUACGUUUAAACAGAGGGGUCCUACCUUCAUGUCUGAUGAGUGAGUAGGCCACAACGGGGAAUGAUAAAUCGAAGAAGUUGAAGUCUUGUGAAUGAAGUUCAGAUCACCUGAAUUCAGACCACAUCCACCAAGGGAAGUGGAGGAAGUCAGCCAGACGUUGUUGGAGGCUAGACGAAGAAAGACAACAAAGAAUAAAACCAUGCAAAAAAUCA